RNAcentral lists this ribosomal RNA (448 nucleotides) under uncultured bacterium. Its description in RNAcentral is "bacterial SSU rRNA". It matches the Rfam family "Bacterial small subunit ribosomal RNA", at positions 355 to 796 of the family's 1533-position model. The record is from RNAcentral.
UCGAGAAUUUUUCACAAUGGGCGCAAGCCUGAUGGAGCGACGCCGCGUGGGGGAUGAAUGGCUUCGGCCCGUAAACCCCUGUCAUUUGCGAUCAAACCUUAUUAUUUAAAAGAUGAUAAGCUGAUAGUAGCGAAAGAGGAAGGGACGGCUAACUCUGUGCCAGCAGCCGCGGUAAUACAGAGGUCCCAAGCGUUGUUCGGAUUCACUGGGCGUAAAGGGUGCGUAGGUGGUGAAGUAAGUCGGAUGUGAAAUCUCCGAGCUCAACUCCGAAACUGCAUUGGAAACUACCUUGCUCGAGGGUCGGAGGGGGGACUGGAAUUCUCGGUGUAGCAGUGAAAUGCGUAGAUAUCGAGAGGAACACCAGUGGCGAAGGCGAGUCCCUGGACAACUCCUGACACUGAGGCACGAAAGCUAGGGGAGCAAACAGGAUUAGAUACCCCUGUAGUCC